Dendronephthya gigantea is the source of this 312-nucleotide long non-coding RNA. RefSeq lists it as uncharacterized. The transcript has 4 exons. Lineage: Eukaryota; Metazoa; Cnidaria; Anthozoa; Malacalcyonacea; Nephtheidae. The record is from RefSeq and is a predicted model, not a curated record.
GGCUUUUGCUCUUCUCGUCAGAGUGAGCUUGAAGUGUUCAGCAAAGAUACAGACGUGUGCUAUAAUGUCGGGCGCCAUCCCAUCCACUGAGGCAAUUUGCAAGGACAUGCAGAGUUGAGGACCAGUAAGGAUCAUCUUGCUUGGAAUUAUGAAAGAUGAAAAUAUAGUCGGUCCACAUUGAAAGAGUGACGCGGAAUUGUUGCUAUGUAGAGAAAUACUUCUAGCCGAGAGUCUAUUGAAAAUUACAGCCGACAGGGGACCUGGCUUUUAGACAAAAACAGGAUCUUAUCUACAAGGUAUGUAAAAAGUUGA